RNAcentral lists this small RNA (27 nucleotides) under Bombyx mori (domestic silkworm). RNAcentral's name for it is "ovarian small RNA-16910". The record is from RNAcentral. Lineage: Eukaryota; Metazoa; Arthropoda; Insecta; Lepidoptera; Bombycidae.
GCGCUUCGGCUUCUAAUGUUGAGAUGC